This 477-nucleotide ribosomal RNA is filed under the name Arthrobacter sp. 50(2011). RNAcentral's name for it is "bacterial SSU rRNA". It matches the Rfam family "Bacterial small subunit ribosomal RNA", at positions 307 to 796 of the family's 1533-position model. Lineage: Bacteria; Bacillati; Actinomycetota; Actinomycetes; Micrococcales; Micrococcaceae. The record is from RNAcentral.
GCCACACUGGGACUGAGACACGGCCCAGACUCCUACGGGAGGCAGCAGUGGGGAAUAUUGCACAAUGGGCGGAAGCCUGAUGCAGCGACGCCGCGUGAGGGAUGACGGCCUUCGGGUUGUAAACCUCUUUCAGUAGGGAAGAAGCGUAAGUGACGGUACCUGCAGAAGAAGCGCCGGCUAACUACGUGCCAGCAGCCGCGGUAAUACGUAGGGCGCAAGCGUUAUCCGGAAUUAUUGGGCGUAAAGAGCUCGUAGGCGGUUUGUCGCGUCUGCCGUGAAAGUCCGGGGCUCAACUCCGGAUCUGCGGUGGGUACGGGCAGACUAGAGUGAUGUAGGGGAGACUGGAAUUCCUGGUGUAGCGGUGAAAUGCGCAGAUAUCAGGAGGAACACCGAUGGCGAAGGCAGGUCUCUGGGCAUUAACUGACGCUGAGGAGCGAAAGCAUGGGGAGCGAACAGGAUUAGAUACCCUGGUAGUCC